GGGGUGGCCUAAUACAUGCAAGUCGAGCGGACAGAAGGGAGCUUGCUCCCGGAUGUUAGCGGCGGACGGGUGAGUAACACGUGGGUAACCUGCCUGUAAGACUGGGAUAACUCCGGGAAACCGGAGCUAAUACCGGAUAGUUCCUUGAACCGCAUGGUUCAAGGAUGAAAGACGGUUUCGGCUGUCACUUACAGAUGGACCCGCGGCGCAUUAGCUAGUUGGUGGGGUAAUGGCUCACCAAGGCGACGAUGCGUAGCCGACCUGAGAGGGUGAUCGGCCACACUGGGACUGAGACACGGCCCAGACUCCUACGGGAGGCAGCAGUAGGGAAUCUUCCGCAAUGGACGAAAGUCUGACGGAGCAACGCCGCGUGAGUGAUGAAGGUUUUCGGAUCGUAAAGCUCUGUUGUUAGGGAAGAACAAGUGCGAGAGUAACUGCUCGCACCUUGACGGUACCUAACCAGAAAGCCACGGCUAACUACCUGCCAGCAGCCGCGGUAAUACGUAGGUGGCAAGCGUUGUCCGGAAUUAUUGGGCGUAAAGGGCUCGCAGGCGGUUUCUUAAGUCUGAUGUGAAAGCCCCCGGCUCAACCGGGGAGGGUCAUUGGAAACUGGGAAACUUGAGUGCAGAAGAAGAGAGUGGAAUUCCACGUGUAGCGGUGAAAUGCGUAGAGAUGUGGAAGAACACCAGUGGCGAAAGGCGACUCUUCUGGUCUGUAACUGUACGCUGAGAGCGAAAGCGUGGGGGAGCGAACAGGAUUAGAUACCUUGUUAGUCACGCCGUAAACGAUGAGUGCUAAGUGUUAAGGGGGUUCCGCCCCUUUAUGGCUUGCGCCUUAAAGCCAUAUAUG
Molecule: ribosomal RNA, 849 nt
Filed under: Bacillus pumilus
Lineage: Bacteria; Bacillati; Bacillota; Bacilli; Caryophanales; Bacillaceae
Description: bacterial SSU rRNA
Rfam family: Bacterial small subunit ribosomal RNA
Source: RNAcentral